ACUAGCUAAGUUUGACGGACAACGUCGGAACAAGAGAUGUAAAAGUUUGCACAAAAAAGUAUGUAGUUGUUGUCUGAGACUAUCUAUUCGACAGUCUUCGCCCAGACAUUCAGUAUACAUAUCUUCUGCGAGCAACUAGAGAUAUUUCUACUCGAAGUUUAUCGGACAGUUAUUCACGUGUGUUGCUAGCUCAUUAGCCACUGAGUGUAUGUUGUUAGCGUUAGCAACGGAAAUGGACCUUUAGCCACCAUUGCUAACCCACCUAACGCUCAAGUCCAGUGCAGCGUUUUCAAGAGGAAACUUAAAGAUUCAUCAGAUACGUUUUUCCUGCGAGCUGCAACAUCGAUGGUUAAAGACGUUGGAAUAGAGAGAGCACACCAGCUUAUCCCAUUCUUCACCAGAGACCGGGAGACGGGUAAAAAGCUUCUGACAACUUCUUGCCAUCCCAUUCUUCACCAGAGAGUACAAGUGCAGACUGGACUCUGACCUUUUAACCAAGGCUGUGUCCUGUCGUGCCAUUCAUAAGUGGUAAGCUCAAGAAAGAAAGAAGGAGAGAGACACACAAAUGGCCCCACUGCAGACCUGCAGAUGUGCAGCUCUGACCGCACAGCCAGCCGGCAGCGGUCAUGUCUUAAUUAACCAGCAGACAUCUGAUCAAUAAUUGAGGAACGAUGGAGAGGGAGACGUGAAAGGUGGGACAGCCUGCACGGUUCAAGGGUUUUGUUUUCCGUUGAUGUGGAAUAACAUUAGAGAUCUAUAGCACGACUUGCCCCACAACAAACGACUCCCUACUCAGGAGAGGUGGAAAAAAUAACCCCCCUUUCUUUCUUUUCUUCAUGUCUUCCUUUACUCAAAUCUUUUCUAUCAUAAAGGAUCAUUGUGCAGGAAGGUUUUUACCCAGUUGUUUCAGUGCAAUGUGAUUUUAAGCCUUGUAAAGCCAGUUUUAUAAGCUUGUGCUCUGUAAUACUUAUUAGCUUAUUUAAGGAGACAUCUACUAAGGUCUGUUGUGGUCAUGCGUGGCAUCUAAAGCUUCCCAGGAUUUAUUUCUGCAUGAAAUGUUUACUUUUAUUGGUGUGCGUACUUUGAUUUGUACCUGCCUUGGGCACUUAAGUCUAAGGUUUAAUUACGUUUUUCUCAAUGGCUUCUCAGAGUCCGCAGGUUAUGAGCCUCAUUCUUUAAGAGACAGAGGAGGGGGGAAGAGUAAGUUGUGUCUACAUGCGUGUUGACUAGCAGGGAUAUCACUAAAUGAGAAAAGUUUAUC
This is a long non-coding RNA of Etheostoma spectabile (orangethroat darter), 1261 nucleotides long. RefSeq lists it as uncharacterized. The transcript is spliced from 3 exons. The record is from RefSeq and is a predicted model, not a curated record. Lineage: Eukaryota; Metazoa; Chordata; Actinopteri; Perciformes; Percidae.